AGAGGGUGCAAGCGUUAAUCGGAUUUACUGGGCGUAAAGCGUGUGUAGGUGGCUACCUAAGUCGAUUGUGAAAUCCCUGGGCUCAACCUGGGAAUUGCAGUCGAUACUGGGCAGCUCGAGUUCGGUAGAGGGUGACGGAAUUCCCGGUGUAGCGGUGAAAUGCGUAGAUAUCGGGAGGAACAUCGAUGGCGAAGGCAAUCACCUGGGCCUGAACUGACACUGAGACACGAAAGCGUGGGGAUCAAACAGGAUUAGAUACCCUGGUAGUCCACGCCGUAAACGAUGGGUACUUGACGUCGGCACGCUCUGCGUGUCGGUGUCGAAGCUAACGCGCUAAGUACCCCGCCUGGGGAGUACGGCCGCAAGGUUG
RNAcentral lists this ribosomal RNA (370 nucleotides) under uncultured bacterium. RNAcentral describes it as "bacterial SSU rRNA". It matches the Rfam family "Bacterial small subunit ribosomal RNA", at positions 527 to 896 of the family's 1533-position model. The record is from RNAcentral.